Molecule: ribosomal RNA, 254 nt
Filed under: uncultured bacterium
Lineage: Bacteria
Description: partial 16S ribosomal RNA
Rfam family: Bacterial small subunit ribosomal RNA
Source: RNAcentral
UACAGAGGUCUCAAGCGUUGUUCGGAAUUACUGGGCGUAAAGGGUGCGCAGGCCGCGCGGGCAGUCAAAUGUGUAAUCCAGGGGCUCAACCCCUGAACUGCGCUUGAUACUUCCGCGCUCGAGCUUUGGAGAGGAGUCUGGAAUUCUCGGUGUAGCAGUGAAAUGCGUGGAUAUCGAGAAGAACACUUAGGGCGAAGGCAAGACUCUGGACAAAUGCUGACGCUCAUGCACGAAGGCUAGGGGUAGCGAACGGG